CGGACGGGUGAGUAACGCGUGAGGAUCUGCCCUUAGGAGGGGGACAACAGUUGGAAACGACUGCUAAUACCCCAUAUGUCUACGGAUGAAAGAUUUUAUCGCCUGAGGAUGAACUCGCGUCUGAUUAGCUAGUUGGUGAGGUAAGGGCUCACCAAGGCGACGAUCAGUAGCUGGUCUGAGAGGAUGAUCAGCCACACUGGGACUGAGACACGGCCCAGACUCCUACGGGAGGCAGCAGUGGGGAAUUUUCCGCAAUGGGGGCAACCCUGACGGAGCAAUACCGCGUGCGGGAGGACGGCCUGUGGGUUGUAAACCGCUUUUCUCAGGGAAGAAGACCUGACGGUACCUGAGGAAUCAGCAUCGGCUAACUCCGUGCCAGCAGCCGCGGUAAUACGGAGGAUGCAAGCGUUAUCCGGAAUUAUUGGGCGUAAAGCGUCCGUAGGUGGUUAAUCAAGUCUGCUGUUAAAGAGCGGAGCUUAACUCCGUUUAAGCGGUGGAAACUGGUUAACUAGAGAGUGGUAGGGGUAGAGGGAAUUCCCAGUGUAGCGGUGAAAUGCGUAGAUAUUGGGAAGAACACCGGUGGCGAAAGCGCUCUACUGGGCCACAUCUGACACUGAUGGACGAAAGCUAGGGGAGCGAAUGGGAUUAGAUACCCCAGUAGUC
RNAcentral lists this ribosomal RNA (663 nucleotides) under uncultured cyanobacterium. Its description in RNAcentral is "bacterial SSU rRNA". It matches the Rfam family "Bacterial small subunit ribosomal RNA", at positions 99 to 795 of the family's 1533-position model. The record is from RNAcentral. Lineage: Bacteria; Bacillati; Cyanobacteriota.